CAGCCGCCGCGGGAAUACGAAGGGGGCUAGCGUUGUUCGGAUUUACUGGGCGUAAAGGGCGCGUAGGUGGGCUGAUAAGUCAGGGGUGAAAUCCCAAGGCUCAACCUUGGAACUGCCUUUGAUACUGUUUGUCUUGAGUUCGAGAGAGGUAAGUGGAACUGCGAGUGUAGAGGUGAAAUUCGUAGAUAUUCGCAAGAACACCAGUGGCGAAGGCGGCUUACUGGCUCGAUACUGACGCUGAGGCGCGAAAGCGUGGGGAACAAACAGGAUUAGAUACCCCAGUAGUCCCUGUCUCUUAUAA
Molecule: ribosomal RNA, 301 nt
Filed under: uncultured bacterium
Lineage: Bacteria
Description: partial 16S ribosomal RNA
Rfam family: Bacterial small subunit ribosomal RNA
Source: RNAcentral